RNAcentral lists this long non-coding RNA (204 nucleotides) under Brassica rapa (field mustard). Its description in RNAcentral is "long non-coding RNA (BRAP_LNC001669)". The record is from RNAcentral. Lineage: Eukaryota; Viridiplantae; Streptophyta; Magnoliopsida; Brassicales; Brassicaceae.
AGGCCCGGCUCACGAGGGUGGGCAAAGGGGCAUUGGCCUAGGGCCCAAAAGAUUUUUUGCAUAAAUAGUAUUGAAAAGGGGCUCAAUAUUUUAAAAAAAAUUGAAGAUAAAGGCCCGAAAUUUUUAAGUUACCAUAUAAUUAUGUUAAAAUUUUGUUUUUUAACUAUUUUGCCAAGGGCCCAAAAUUCUUUUGAGCCGGGCCUG